GAAAAAUUUAUUUCAUACUAAUGAAAAUUUGUGAGCAAAACUCAGGAACAUGACAACCACAAUAACCCGAACAGUCGGACAAACUAUGCACAAUGACCGCUGAUUAGUUUAAUGUUUUAUUCCAUCUAUACCACGCUAAAAUUACAUAUAUUGCAGAGACAGCAAAUGAAAGAUACCGAGUACAGAUUUUUAAGUUUUCGCAUAAGCGAGGCAUUGCAAGAAAAGCACGACCAGCCACAAAUAUAUCCAAGAAAGGACAUGCAUACCAGACCAUAUAAAUAGUAACACGUUUCGAUAGCUUCAGACACAAUUUCGAACUGUGGAUGCUCGAGUAGGCAGAUUUCAAGCUGCAGCGUUAACGGCCUGAUUACCAGCUUCCUUCUCCACAAAACAUUUGAGAUACUCCUUCCUGGCGGGAAGAUGAUCAUUGGGACGGUUGUGAGGAGUCCAGACAGGAUCACCAACAAAGAGUCGCAUGGCCUUGAUGUAAUUGUCAGAAUCCAGAGUAAAGCGAUGAUAAAUUCCAGCAGGCAAGACAAUCAUUGCUCCCUUCUUUACCCAAAUACGGAUCCAUUUGUCAUUCAGAUCUCUAACAUCAAAAUAACCACUCCCAGCCACACAAUAACGGAUCUCCUCAUCAGUGUGAAGGUGUUCCUCAUAAAAGCUUUUAAUCUUCUCUUCAUAGUUAGGAAGCUUUUCUGGACAGACCUCACAGAAGUCCAUGUAGGAGUAAUUACGAUCACGACGUAUCUUCUUCAAUUCCUCAUCUGUUUCAUAAAUGUCUGCAUCUAGUCUCCAGCUCAGAACUCCAAGUUCGUCAAGUUGUUGGAGGGACAAAUAUUGCUUCGGUUCAAGGUGAUGAGGAAGCCUCUGGUCUUCAUCACUAUCAUCCAUAUACCAUGCCUGAAUCACUUCCUCUCUUGGAUCCUUGUCGGGAACAGCCAUCGUCAACUGCAACCUUCGGCUUCUGCUUCAGAAUAAAAAUCCCAAUCAAAUUCGAAUGCUGCAAGACAACGCGUGGAUAGGCGAAAAUGAAGGAA
This 1040-nucleotide unclassified non-coding RNA is filed under the name Hevea brasiliensis (rubber tree). The record is from RNAcentral. Lineage: Eukaryota; Viridiplantae; Streptophyta; Magnoliopsida; Malpighiales; Euphorbiaceae.